GCGGAAGCCCUCCUCGCCCAAUGGGGACAGGCAAGGGAGUGACAUGGGGAGUGACAUGGGCCACGACAACCAAUGGGAACAUGACAGGGUUUAACGCAGACAAAUGUUGAUUGGAGUUUGAGCUUCCAGAUGACAUCUGCAAGAAAUUUGCUGAGAAGUUUGUACAGUAAAUUCAACCUGUCAUUCUCUACUGCAAGAUACGUUCCGGAGAAACCAAAUGCCCUGACCAUCUGUCUUCAUCUGAAAUAUUUUAGUGUUGGAAUUCCUAAUACGAUUGUAGAAGGGAACUGACUAAAAUAUAAACUGUCACAGACUU
This is a long non-coding RNA of Vidua chalybeata, 316 nucleotides long. RefSeq lists it as uncharacterized. The record is from RefSeq and is a predicted model, not a curated record. NCBI's taxonomy places the organism in Eukaryota, Metazoa, Chordata, Aves, Passeriformes, Viduidae. The transcript is spliced from 3 exons.